RNAcentral lists this small RNA (775 nucleotides) under Ogataea histrianica. Its description in RNAcentral is "eukaryotic LSU rRNA". The stretch from base 313 to 466 matches the Rfam family "5.8S ribosomal RNA". Lineage: Eukaryota; Fungi; Ascomycota; Pichiomycetes; Pichiales; Pichiaceae. The record is from RNAcentral.
AAGGAUCAUUACAGUAUUCUUCUAAGCUGGAGUUGUGGACUGGUUAGUUGCUUUGCCUGCGCUGCUGAAAUAUUGCGUGCGCGGUGAGAGACUGAUUUGGUCGCAGUUCUAUUCAAGGCUUAGAAAUCUCCUUACACACUUUGUUUUCUUAUUAGAGACAAAUUUGCUUUGGUCAGUGGUUGUGUAAAAGCGACAUGUCUGGCCAGAGGUUUUAACAAAACCCUUUUUCGUUUUCCCUUGGGAAGAUUGAAAACUUGAUAUUUAUAAUUUGUCAGAUUUAAGGAGUUGCGCAGCAGCUUUUCUAAAAUUUAAAACUUUCAACAACGGAUCUCUUGGUUCUCGCAUCGAUGAAGAACGCAGCGAAAUGCGAUAAGUAAUGUGAAUUGCAGAUUUUCGUGAAUCAUUGAAUCUUUGAACGCACAUUGCGCCCUCUGGUAUUCCAGAGGGCAUGCCUGUUUGAGCGUCAUUUCCUUCUCAAACCCUAGGGUUUGGUGAUGGGCAAUACUCUUGUACGAGAGUUUGCUUGAAAUGAAUUGGCAUGAGUUUUUGAUAUGAACUUCAGCUGUUUAUUCAAUGUAUUAGGUUUUAUCCAUCGUUGAUUGACAACUGCUAGCUUCUUUCGAAAUUUGGCUCUGCCUUACAAACUUUUAUCAUAAAGUUUGACCUCAAAUCAGGUAGGAUUACCCGCUGAACUUAAGCAUAUCAAUAAGCGGAGGAAAAGAAACCAACAGGGAUUGCCUUAGUAGCGGCGAGUGAAGCGGCAAGAGCUCAAAUU